AUUGAACGCUGGCGGCAUGCCUUACACAUGCAAGUCGAACGGCAGCGGGGGAGAAGCUUGCUUUUCCUGCCGGCGAGUGGCGGACGGGUGAGUAAUACAUCGGAACGUGCCCUGUAGUGGGGGAUAACUAGUCGAAAGAUUAGCUAAUACCGCAUACGACCUGAGGGUGAAAGUGGGGGACCGCAAGGCCUCAUGCUAUAGGAGCGGCCGAUGUCUGAUUAGCUAGUUGGUGGGGUAAAGGCCUACCAAGGCGACGAUCAGUAGCUGGUCUGAGAGGACGAUCAGCCACACGGGGACUGAGACACGGCCCAGACUCCUACGGGAGGCAGCAGUGGGGAAUUUUGGACAAUGGGCGAAAGCCUGAUCCAGCAAGGCCGCGUGUGUGAAGAAGGCCUUAGGGUUGUAGAGCACUUUUGGCCGGAAAGAAAUGGCUUUGGUUAAUACCUGGGGUCGAUGACGGUACCGGAAGAAUAAGGACCGGCUAACUACGUGCCAGCCGCCGCAGUAA
RNAcentral lists this ribosomal RNA (508 nucleotides) under uncultured bacterium. RNAcentral describes it as "partial 16S ribosomal RNA". It matches the Rfam family "Bacterial small subunit ribosomal RNA", at positions 29 to 523 of the family's 1533-position model. The record is from RNAcentral.